GACGAACCACACGAACGUUAUUCGGAAUCACUGGGCUUAAAGGGUGCGUAGGCGGCGCGGAAAGUAGGGUGUGAAAUCCCUCGGCUUAACCGAGGAAUUGCGCUCUAAACUACCGUGCUCGAGGGAGGUAGAGGUGAGCGGAACUUAGGGUGGAGCGGUGAAAUGCGUUGAUAUCCUAAGGAACACCGGUGGCGAAAGCGGCUCACUGGAUCUCUUCUGACGCUGAGGCACGAAAGCUAGGGUAGCGAACGGG
RNAcentral lists this ribosomal RNA (253 nucleotides) under uncultured bacterium. RNAcentral's name for it is "partial 16S ribosomal RNA". It matches the Rfam family "Bacterial small subunit ribosomal RNA", at positions 524 to 776 of the family's 1533-position model. The record is from RNAcentral.